This 253-nucleotide ribosomal RNA is filed under the name uncultured bacterium. Its description in RNAcentral is "partial 16S ribosomal RNA". It matches the Rfam family "Bacterial small subunit ribosomal RNA", at positions 524 to 776 of the family's 1533-position model. The record is from RNAcentral.
UACAGGGGGGGCAAGCGUUGUUCGGAAUUACUGGGCGUAAAGGGCUCGUAGGCGGCCAACUAAGUCACACGUGAAAUCCCCAGGCUUAACCUGGGAACUGCGUGUGAUACUGGAUGGCUUGAAUUCGGGAGAGGGAUGCAGAAUUCCAGGUGUAGCGGUGAAAUGCGUAGAUAUCUGGAGGAACACCGGUGGCGAAGGCGGCAUCCUGGACCGACACUGACACUGAGGAGCGAAAGCCAGGGGAGCAAACGGG